RNAcentral lists this long non-coding RNA (461 nucleotides) under Cucumis sativus (cucumber). RNAcentral describes it as "long non-coding RNA (CSAT_LNC000419)". Lineage: Eukaryota; Viridiplantae; Streptophyta; Magnoliopsida; Cucurbitales; Cucurbitaceae. The record is from RNAcentral.
UUUUAUUCUUCCUCAAAUUCCAAUUUAUAAUUUGUAUAGUUUCUCCAUUUUCCAGACUUGUAGUUAAUGGCAUCUGUGUGACCUAUGAAUGAGAUUAGCCUAAGAAUUAUUCUUUACCUUUCCAUACCCCUAAUUAAUUUAUAAUUUGUAUAGUUUCUCCAUUUUCCAGACUUGUAGUUAAUGGCAUCUGUGUGACCUAUGAAUGAGAUUAGCCUAAGAAUUAUUCUUUACCUUUCCAUACCCCUAAUUAAUUGCAUUACCGGUACCUCAAACAUGCAUAAAUAACAUUCUGUGUUCAUUGUCAUAUGUAUGGUAUAGAAUUUGAUAUCCUCGAGCUCGUACUAGUAAUAGCAGCUGUAUUUGAUAUCAAUCAUGGCAUCAUCCUGAUUCCUAGUACAGUCUACCUAUUGAAUGAAAUUAUGUGUAGUUUUAAGCAUGUGUAUCUGUCUGUUUCCCACCCA